AAGUGCAGACUGUAUAGUGAAUGUAAUUGAUUCACUUGAUUUUGUGACUUGACCACGUGAAGAUUAAUUGAAAAUGCCAAUUUAUAUUAUACAUCACACUCAGUAUUGGCCUUCAGAUUGCAGUCAAUUCAAUUAACUAUUGACCUACUCUAUUAAUGCUGCACACAAUAUUGGACAUAGGCGCUGCUUAUGAUAGUCUUCACAAAGAACUGAACGAAAUUGCAAAACUAGAACGUCGGAAAAGCUGUGCUGUACAUCACCAUCAUGACGAGCAACAUCAUCGACAUUUGGAUCGCAGAAAACAACAUGAUAUGAAUGUACUAUCAAUUUUAAAGGACAAGAGUAAACCUAAAAAAGAGGCAAAAACAACGACUAACCAAGCUACCCAAAAUGAAUUGAGUAAAUAUUCAAAAAAUGCCACAACUUUAACAAGAUCUUCUCUAAAAUCCACAGGUGUUGGCGUAGAAACGCGGCAAUAUUGUGUUUACAAAAAAGACUGCCAUUGCAAUAAAACACACCAAGACAAACACUGGAAAUACUAAUGUGUAUACCU
Molecule: RNA transcript, 553 nt
Organism: Colias croceus (clouded yellow)
Lineage: Eukaryota; Metazoa; Arthropoda; Insecta; Lepidoptera; Pieridae
Exons: 2
Source: RefSeq, a predicted model, not a curated record